RNAcentral lists this long non-coding RNA (235 nucleotides) under Hordeum vulgare. RNAcentral describes it as "long non-coding RNA (HVUL_LNC006868)". Lineage: Eukaryota; Viridiplantae; Streptophyta; Magnoliopsida; Poales; Poaceae. The record is from RNAcentral.
UUGUUGUUAGUAGUUUGUAGUAGUGCUUCUUGCCCUCUUCCGUGCCAUGCCUUGCUUGAGUUUAUCGGAGUUGUGUAGCCGUAGUUGUCGGGCGUAGUAAAUGCUAUGUGGCUGAUUUUGGCAGAUUGUAGUCAUUUCUUGUAUUGCUCGUAGUUUUUGAACCGUAGCCCCGAUUUGAUCGUGUCCUAUAUGAAACUUGCUUAGAAUCUCGUGUAGUUUCAUUUUAUCUUGUUGG